This 1215-nucleotide long non-coding RNA is filed under the name Numida meleagris (helmeted guineafowl). RNAcentral describes it as "lncRNA (ENSNMEG00000004518.1)". The record is from RNAcentral. Lineage: Eukaryota; Metazoa; Chordata; Aves; Galliformes; Numididae.
AUGCCCAGGGCUCAGCCACGACCAUGGGCUGCGCUGGGAAAGGGAAUGGGGCCAAAGGGGCCCAGCAUGGCCCAUGGGAACGUGUGGGCAGCAGCAGGAGGAACCACGUCAGCCCCACAAACACCUCCACCGGGGCAGGAGGAAGCGGCCGGCAAGCGCGGUGACGAGGAGGAGGAGGAGGAGGGGAGGAAGGGGAAGGAGCCGCAGCCUCCAAGGGAACCUCCUGGCCCGCACAGACCCAGGCUUUGGGCUGGGAAAUGCAGCACAGAUCCCAGCGGGGCUGAGCGGCAGCACCCCAAGCUGCAGGCCACCCCUUACCCCACGCUCUCACAUCGUUCUGCACAGCUCUGCACCCCCAGCGGUGCCGGGCACUGUGCUGCAGCCCGGCCUGGAGAAGAGGAACCAACUGUGCUGCGGCACACACAGCACCCACGGGGCCGGAGCUCGCGGCUCCCAGCCCCAAUCCCAGCUGUGGGGCCGGCGUCGGGCGGCACAGUGGGGCAGGUGGCCGCGAAGGAGGGGAGGGGACGAGAGGAUGUGGGGACAGCGGCAGAGGUGGCGGGGUGGGACACAGCCAGGCUGCAACAGCACGGGAGCAUCGCCCCAGAGCAGCCAUCCCGGUGGGGCGGUGGCAAUGGGGACGUGGUGGCACCCCAAUGGGGACAUGGCGGGGCACGAUGGGGACAUGGUUGGAUGCGAUGUUCUUCGGCCACAGAGCAGCCAAGAAGUCCCUUCCCCUGCCCGUCCCUAUGUGGGGGCUGGGGCCACCGAGUGCUCGCCCCAGGAGGCGGUGGGGCAUUGCGUGUGCCCCCCCCCCUCCCCCCCCGCAAAUACCCUGGGGCAGAAGGGGAUGAGAUGAACCGCCCCAAACCACCCCAAAGCGUUUGGCCCUCAGCAAACCCACCUGCCCUGCCCCAGAGCUGGGGGUGCCUCUCGCCCCGUGCCCCAGAGCUGAUGCCCGUGGCACGGCCGUGCCCCCAUCGCCCCCCACCUCCCAGCCCCACCGCUGGCAAUGAGAGCAGGAUUUCCGCUGGAAGAAGAGCAAUUCCCGGAUCCGAGGGGGCUGCAGGGGGGGGGGAAGGCCCUGCCAGGGCUGCAAAUACAAUGUCCCGGGAGGAGCAGGGCGGGGAGGGAAUUGUGCGGGCAGGAAGCAGCCAGUUCCUGCCCGGGACGCACCGCGGGAUGGGGGUGCGGGGGGGGGCACCCCACGUGUGA